This 86-nucleotide transfer RNA is filed under the name Streptomyces fructofermentans. Its description in RNAcentral is "tRNA-Met". The record is from RNAcentral. Lineage: Bacteria; Bacillati; Actinomycetota; Actinomycetes; Kitasatosporales; Streptomycetaceae.
CGGCCGUCGUCCAGGUGGGCCGCAGGCUCAUGGUCUGCGGCGACCUGGCGGGCGCCCGGCCCGUGUUCCACACCCCGUGGGCCGGC